RNAcentral lists this unclassified non-coding RNA (366 nucleotides) under uncultured Hyphodiscus. Its description in RNAcentral is "sequence contains ITS2". The stretch from base 1 to 154 matches the Rfam family "5.8S ribosomal RNA". The record is from RNAcentral. Lineage: Eukaryota; Fungi; Ascomycota; Leotiomycetes; Helotiales; Hyaloscyphaceae.
AACUUUCAGCAACGGAUCUCUUGGUUCUGGCAUCGAUGAAGAACGCAGCGAAAUGCGUUAAGUAAUGUGAAUUGCAGAAUUCAGUGAAUCAUCGAAUCUUUGAACGCACAUUGCGCCCCUUGGUAUUCCGGGGGGCAUGCCUGUUCGAGCGUCAUUACAACCCUCAAGCCUAGCUUGGUAUUGGGCUUCGCCGUUCACCCGGCGGGCCUUAAAAUCAGUGGCGGUGCCGUCGUGGCCCUGAGCGCAGUAAAUAUCCUCGCUAUAGGGACCCGGUGGUAGCUGGCCAGCAACCCCCAACUUUCUAAGUUUGACCUCGGAUCAGGUAGGGAUACCCGCUGAACUUAAGCAUAUCAAUAAGCGGAGGCU